This 429-nucleotide ribosomal RNA is filed under the name Verrucomicrobiota bacterium. RNAcentral's name for it is "Verrucomicrobia bacterium partial 16S ribosomal RNA". It matches the Rfam family "Bacterial small subunit ribosomal RNA", at positions 355 to 776 of the family's 1533-position model. Lineage: Bacteria; Pseudomonadati; Verrucomicrobiota. The record is from RNAcentral.
UGGGGAAUCUUCCGCAAUGGGCGACAGCCUGACGGAGCAACGCCGCGUGAGUGAAGACGGCCUUCGGGUUGUAAAACUCUGUGAUUCGGGACGAAAGAUAAGCAGACGAAUAAUCUGCAUAAGUGACGGUACCGAAAAAGCAAGCCACGGCUAACUACGUGCCAGCAGCCGCGGUAAUACGUAGGUGGCAAGCGUUGUCCGGAAUUAUUGGGCGUAAAGCGCGCGCAGGCGGCUACUUAAGUCCAUCCUAAAAGUGCGGGGCUUAACCACGUGGGGGGAUGGAAACUGAGAGGCUGGAGUGACGGAGAGGAAAGUGGAAUUCCUAGUGUAGGGGUGAAAUGCGUAGAGAUUAGGAAGAACACCGGUGGCGAAGGCGACUUUCUGGACGACAACUGACGCUUAGGCGCGAAAGCGUGGGGAGCAAACAGG